Molecule: ribosomal RNA, 459 nt
Filed under: uncultured bacterium
Lineage: Bacteria
Description: partial 16S ribosomal RNA
Rfam family: Bacterial small subunit ribosomal RNA
Source: RNAcentral
CCUACGGGAGGCUGCAGUGAGGAAUAUUGGUCAAUGGGCGGGAGCCUGAACCAGCCAAGCCGCGUGAGGGAAGAAGGUACAGCGUAUCGUAAACCUCUUUUGUCAGGGCACAAAGGCCGGGACUCGUCCCCCGACGAGGGUACCUGGAGAAAAAGCAUCGGCUAACUCCGUGCCAGCAGCCGCGGUAAUACGGGGGAUGCGAGCGUUAGCGGGAUUUAUUGGUUUUAAAGGGUGCGCAGGCGGCAUGGUAAGUCCACGGUAAAAGCCCAGGGCUCAACCCCGGCCCGCCGUGGAAACUGGGGUGCGGGAGUGGGAGAGAAGGACGCGGAAUGCGCGGUGUAGCGGUGAAAGGCUUAGAUAGCGCGCAGAACUCCGAUUGCGAAGGCAGCGUACCGGCGCCACACUGACGCUGAGGCACGAAAGCGUGGGUAUCGAACAGGAUUAGAUACCCGAGUAGUC